This 48-nucleotide transfer RNA is filed under the name Tenodera costalis. Its description in RNAcentral is "partial tRNA-Leu". Lineage: Eukaryota; Metazoa; Arthropoda; Insecta; Mantodea; Mantidae. The record is from RNAcentral.
GUGCAGUGGAUUUAAGCUCCACAAAUAAAGUUAAUACUUUUUUUAGAA